AGGUCGAUCCAGUCUGAGAGUCACAGUCCGGGCUCCUCCACAAAUCAUGGAGUCAACCAGGAUGAAACUCAUGUGUACGACUCUCUUCAACAUGGUACUGCUGACGUCUAUGAAUCAGUCACACAAGUCACAAAGAGAAAUGAUUCAUGCUUCACCAGGUCGAUCCAGUCUGAGAGUCACAGUCCGGGCUCCUCCACAAAUCAUGGAGUCAACCAGAAUGAAACUCAUGUGUACGACUCUCUUCAACAUGGUACUGAUGACGUCUAUGAAUCAGUCACACAAGUGAAAAACAGAAAUGGUUCAGAUGAAUAUGAUGACGUCACCUCAUCUCUUAUUGAGUUUAAAGAUCUUAGAACUAAGAAUACAGAGUCUGUCUGCGCCUUCUAAACAAAUCCUAUAAGGUGGGACAGGCAUGAGGGGCAGCCAGUGACCCCUCACACACGUCCUUAUGCUGAUAUCCAGGCAGGUUCUCAGUGUUUGUAGCUGCUGAUUUAUGCAGCAAGCAUUUCCACAGUCCUCUGCAGCAGAUUAUAGAAACACUUCUUUUCUCAGCUCACGACAGAAGAUCUACAGCUGGGACACUGUUAAGUGGUUCUAUGUGAAAAAUAGUUAAAUAUUAACUCAAACAUGUUCUUGUAUGUAAAACAGGUUCAAAUGCAUGAAAUUAUAUUUGUCCUUUAUAGUGGACAUUAAAAAACACCACAUGUAUGAACGAUAGUUUACAUCUUAGAGCCCUGCUCUCAAAAACUGACUCAGAUGUAACUGUCUGUGAAACCAGAUUUAAGAAAUAAGAACUUAAAGUUCACAAAACAUGUCAAACAGACUCUCCUUCAUGAAGUCCUCGUUGAUAAAGUGCUUCACAGACCUGAACAUUACAGCUAACAGCUGGAUUUUCCUGUGUCAGUGCAGCUGGCCAAAAAAUGCAGAACCACUUACUGCUAAAGAGACAGACGGUGAAAGCAGACAGUAUAUCCUCCGUUUUAAUAUAAAAGUCAUUGUUGCAGCUGAGAGCAGCACAACAGUGACCCCAUUAAACUGAUGUUUAGUUUUAGUGUCCUUAUUUUCACUGAGUUAUUGGUUCUGCUAUUAGUUACUUUACAUAAACUGAUGUGAGUCUUUUGACUGAAACGAACCAACUGACCUGGUGAUGUGAUGCUCUGUACUAACAGAAGAUGGCGCUGAACAUGUUUUUAUAACUUUAAGCACUUAUUUCUUAAAUCCAGCUUCACAGUCAGAGUUACAUCUGUGUCAGUUUUUGAGAGCUGGGCUCCAUGAUGUACAUUAGCAUUGAUACAUGUAGUGUUUCAUGUCCCCUUUAAUGCUGAACACCUGAUGUGACAUUUCCACACAAUAACUCUGCUCAGUAACUGAUUGUUUUACAUGUUUUCCAUCUUCCAGUUUUUGUGAUUUGGUUCAUGUAAACAUUUCUGAUGGUUUUAUUUUCAUCAAAAUAUUUUAAUUUGCACUUAAGUUUGAACUCUUAGAGAUUACACUCACUUUGUUUUCACAGACUUGUGACCAUGACACAAAACUACAGAGAGAAGUGGAUAAAAUCUCAUUGUUACUGGUUUUAGAAAUGCUUUACAAUAAUAAAAAAUACAUCAUUUAGAGUCAAAAUAUCAUAAAUGGUAACAAAUAUAACUGUUGUCUUCUGGUUACUCACAGUCCAAAUCAUCAUCUGCAUCAAUGAAUGUCAGUGAGGCGUCCUGAAAGUCGUCACGUCUCCUGUUCAGUUACCGUCUCUGAGAAUCACUCUGCUCUCCAAUCAAAUCACUUUCUUCUGUUUAUCCUCUGAGUUGCUCUUUGAUGGUUAUGAAUCGUUGCUCUUCUUUAAACUGUGAAGUCGUUCCUGUACUUGGGAGACAUUUCUCUUUUGUUCUGGUAUCAAAUUGCUUCGUGUUUGCUGAACGUAACCGUCUUUCUGUUCACCUGUCAAACUGUUGCUCAUGUUUCCAGAGCAGCUUUUCUUCUGCUCAGACUUAAAAAAUGUUCAAUAAGUUUUGUUUUGUCGAUUUGCCAAAUUGUUGCUCAGUUAUUGAGAAUACCUUUUUUUCUGUUCUGUAGACAUUAAUUUGCUCUUGUUUAGUUGUCAAGUUGCUGCACAGUUGGUUUGAGUCGAAGUUAAUCUCAGUUGACAGGUUGCUUUGCAGUUUUGAAAAAAAAAAUUCUCCUCUGAUAAGUUGUCAAACUGUCUUUCAGAAUAAUUUAUUCUCAGUUUUCUGUUUAGACUUUUUCUCAGACGUCUGAUUUUCGCCUCUUCUGUUCAGUCACUCAUCUUCUGCUCAGACUGUCUGUGUGUGUGUGUGUGUGUGCGUGUGUGUGUGCGUGUGCGUGCGUGUGCGUGUGUGUGUGUAUGUAGGUGCAUGUGUGUGUUUCCAGCUAUACCAUACAUAGACAUGCGAUCUUUCAAUGAACUUAAACCGUGUGUAUGAGGUUUGCAGAAAAGCAGAAAUAAGCACCUUGCUAAACUAUAAAAACAGGAACUUGUAAGAGGUCAUGUCUCAAACAAACAUUUAAAGGUGUGAAGUCUUGCACUUAUAAAGAAACAGAACCUGGUGCUUUCCUAAUGUAUAACAUAGCUCAUCUCUGGACUAAGCUGCACUCUAAAUAAAGCACAUUUUGUCAGCACAGACACAGAUAAAGGAAAUAGUAGAAGGUUGAAAAUAAAUCCUCUGACUGUCUGGCUUUUUCUUCAUAAUGAAGCCAUAUUAGGACACAUAAAGGCGAUGAUUAUAUAUCUAUAUAUUAUAGCACAAAUGACAAUAUAAAAAACAUCAAUUCCAACAAAAUCUGCC
Long non-coding RNA from Oreochromis aureus, 2795 nucleotides. The record is from Ensembl. Lineage: Eukaryota; Metazoa; Chordata; Actinopteri; Cichliformes; Cichlidae.